This is a long non-coding RNA of Carassius auratus (goldfish), 551 nucleotides long. RefSeq lists it as uncharacterized. The record is from RefSeq and is a predicted model, not a curated record. The transcript is spliced from 4 exons. NCBI's taxonomy places the organism in Eukaryota, Metazoa, Chordata, Actinopteri, Cypriniformes, Cyprinidae.
UGCAUAAGGAAGUAAGACAGUGAAAUAAAGUGUUUAGUCUUACUUACAAAUAUGUUUUGUAAUAUCAAAUCAUUUUAUAACGAUAUGUAUGUGAUGUAUGCGCCUAAACGUUUCUCAGAGACGUUUCCUUUCACUCGCGAAGCGGAACAGACAAGGACUUUUUUUCAAAAGGGAAAAUCUCAUUUAAAAUAUAUAUUUUAUAGCAUCACAUUGAUUUAAGGUGAUAUUUAUGCGGUGUACAUUCCUAAACCUUUUCCCAGUGCGAUAUUUCCUUUCACCAGCGAUGCGAAAGUUGACAGGGAAGUUGGUUUUAACAAGGAAAACACAGACAGUUAAGUAGUAACAAUUUGAAUUGCUCUGCAGUGCGCAGAUGUGGAGGUCACUUGGAAACACCAGAAAGAUAUUUUCUUUCCCUCGCGAUGCUCUGGAGCAGAUGGGGAAAUUGGUCUUAACAAGGAAAAGACCAAAAAUGGUUCAUGCUGGCUUAACAGAACAAUCAAAAGGAGAUGAUGUGUUUGAAGAGUAUGAAGCCACCAAUACAUGAGUAAGCC